GUUGUAUGGUUAAGUGACUAAGCGUACAUGGUGGAUGCCUUGGCAGUCAGAGGCGAUGAAGGACGUACUAACCUGCGAUAAGCCGUGAGCAGUCGGUAAGAGACAUUACGACUCACGGAUUUCCGAAUGGGGAAACCCACUUAGCAUAAGCUAGGUAUCGCUACGUGAAUACAUAGCGUAGCGAGGCGAACCGGGAGAACUGAAACAUCUAAGUACCCCGAGGAAAAGAAAUCAACCGAGAUUCCCUCAGUAGCGGCGAGCGAACGGGGAUUAGCCCUUAAGCAUCUUGGAAGUUAGUGGAACGGUCCUGGAAAGGCCGGCGAUACAGGGUGAUAGCCCCGUACACGAAAACAACCUUGAUGUGAAAUCGAGUAGGGCGGGACACGUGACAUCCUGUCUGAAUAUGGGGGGACCAUCCUCCAAGGCUAAAUACUCCUGACUGACCGAUAGUGAACCAGUACCGUGAGGGAAAGGCGAAAAGAACCCCUGUGAGGGGAGUGAAAUAGAACCUGAAACCGUGUACGUACAAGCAGUGGGAGCCCUUCGGGGUGACUGCGUACCUUUUGUAUAAUGGGUCAGCGACUUACAUUUUGUAGCGAGGUUAACCGUAUAGGGGAGCCGUAGGGAAACCGAGUCUUAACUGGGCGUCUAGUUGCAAGGUGUAGACCCGAAACCGGGUGAUCUAGCCAUGGGCAGGUUGAAGGUUGAGUAACAUCAACUGGAGGACCGAACCCACUAACGUUGCAAAGUUAGGGGAUGACCUGUGGCUGGGGGUGAAAGGCCAAUCAAACUCGGAGAUAGCUGGUUCUCCCCGAAAGCUAUUUAGGUAGCGCCUCGGACGAAUACUACUGGGGGUAGAGCACUGUUUGGGCUAGGGGGUCAUCCCGACUUACCAACCCCAUGCAAACUCCGAAUACCAGUAAGUAAUAUCCGGGAGACACACGGCGGGUGCUAACGUCCGUCGUGAAGAGGGAAACAACCCAGACCGCCGGCUAAGGUCCCAAAGUUCUGGUUAAGUGGGAAACGAUGUGGGAAGGCUCAGACAGCUAGGAUGUUGGCUUAGAAGCAGCCAUCAUUUAAAGAAAGCGUAAUAGCUCACUAGUCGAGUCGGCCUGCGCGGAAGAUGUAACGGGGCUCAAACCAGGCACCGAAGCCGCGGAUUCACACUAAGUGUGAGUGGUAGGGGAGCGUUCUGUAAGUCUGCGAAGGUGUGUCGAGAGGCAUGCUGGAGAUAUCAGAAGUGCGAAUGCUGACGUAAGUAACGAUAAAGGGGGUGAAAAGCCUCCUCGCCGGAAGACCAAGGGUUCCUGUCCAACGUUAAUCGGGGCAGGGUGAGUCGACCCCUAAGGCGAGGCCGAAAGGCGUAGUCGAUGGGAAGCAGGUUAAUAUUCCUGCACGACUUGUAAUUGCGAUGGGGGACGGAGAAGGCUAGGUGGGCCAGGCGACGGUUGUCCUGGUGAAAGUGCGUAGGUGGUGUUUCUAGGCAAAUCCGGAGACACAACACUGAGACACGAGACGAACACACUACGGUGUGGAAGCCAUUGAUGCCCUGCUUCCAGGAAAAGCCUCUAAGCUUCAGAUUACAAGUCAUCGUACCCCAAACCGACACAGGUGGUCGGGUAGAGAAUACCAAGGCGCUUGAGAGAACUCGGGUGAAGGAACUAGGCAAAAUAGAACCGUAACUUCGGGAGAAGGUUCGCUCUUGACAGUGAAGUCCCUUGCGGAUGGAGCAGUUGGGAGUCGCAGUGACCAGAUGGCUGGGACUGUUUAUCAAAAACACAGCACUCUGCAAACACGAAAGUGGACGUAUAGGGUGUGACACCUGCCCGGUGCCGGAAGGUUAAUUGAUGGGGUUAGCGCAAGCGAAGCUCUUGAUCGAAGCCCCGGUAAACGGCGGCCGUAACUAUAACGGUCCUAAGGUAGCGAAAUUCCUUGUCGGGUAAGUUCCGACCUGCACGAAUGGUGUAACCAUGGCCAUGCUGUCUCCACCCGAGACUCAGUGAAAUCGAAUUCGCCGUGAAGAUGCGGUGUACCCGCGGCUAGACGGAAAGACCCCGUGAACCUUUACUACAGCUUGGCACUGAACAUUGAACCUACAUGUGUAGGAUAGGUGGGAGGCUUUGAAGGCGUGACGCCAGUUGCGCUGGAGCCGUCCUUGAAAUACCACCCUUGUAUGUUUGAUGUUCUAACGCAGGCCCGUGAAUCCGGGUCGCGGACAGUGCCUGGUGGGUAGUUUGACUGGGGCGGUCUCCUCCCAAAGAGUAACGGAGGAGCACGAAGGUUGGCUAAUCCUGGUCGGACAUCAGGAGGUUAGUGCAAUGGCAUAAGCCAGCUUAACUGCGAGACGGACAGGUCGAGCAGGUACGAAAGUAGGUCAUAGUGAUCCGGUGGUUCUGAAUGGAAGGGCCAUCGCUCAACGGAUAAAAGGUACUCCGGGGAUAACAGGCUGAUACCGCCCAAGAGUUCAUAUCGACGGCGGUGUUUGGCACCUCGAUGUCGGCUCAUCACAUCCUGGGGCUGAAGUCGGUCCCAAGGGUAUGGCUGUUCGCCAUUUAAAGUGGUACGCGAGCUGGGUUCAGAACGUCGUGAGACAGUUCGGUCCCUAUCUGCCGUGGGCGUUGGAUGAUUGAAGGGAGUUGCUCCUAGUACGAGAGGACCGGAGUGAACGAACCUCUGGUGUUCGGGUUGUCACGCCAGUGGCACUGCCCGGUAGCUAAGUUCGGAAUCGAUAACCGCUGAAAGCAUCUAAGCGGGAAGCGAGCCCUGAGAUGAGUCAUCCCUGACCCCUUGAGGGUCCUAAAGGGCCGUUGGAGACCACAACGUUGAUAGGUGGGGUGUGUAAGCGCGGCGACGUGUUGAGCUAACCCAUACUAAUUACCCGUGAGGCUUAACCAUACAACACCCAAGAAGUGUUCU
This 2916-nucleotide ribosomal RNA is filed under the name Aeromonas hydrophila. RNAcentral describes it as "23S ribosomal RNA". It matches the Rfam family "Bacterial large subunit ribosomal RNA". The record is from RNAcentral. Lineage: Bacteria; Pseudomonadati; Pseudomonadota; Gammaproteobacteria; Aeromonadales; Aeromonadaceae.